UGUCAGGGGACAGGCUCCGAGUUAGUCACACUGUGCAGUCCUGCCAUGGGGACAGAGUGCAGCCAUUGUUGGGUUAGUACAGUGGCGGGGAUGUGCCUGCCGGCGUGAUGAUCAGGCAGGUCUUGACACAGCACAGACCUGAGCUGUGGGACUGGCCAGGAGAGCCAGGCUGCAGCUCGGGUGUAGGGCGUCUCGCAGUGAAUUGCACUUGGAGAUCUUCCACCUCUUGUGGAGGGGAGAGGGCAGGCGGAGCCGGGGCUAGGCAUUCCUGAGACAGGUGGCGGUGACAGCCUUGCUUGGGACAGAACUGCCAGACAGGAUUGCCCAUGUAUCUGCCAGCCCUGGCCCCAGCAGGAGCCAGUUGGAUGACUCAUGGCUUCCACCUGCAGUUCACUUCACUGAAGAAGGCUGCCGACCCAGGCCACGUGGUAAAUCCCAUGAGGUUUUCUCUGCCUGUGUGCCCCACUGCAGGGGAGGGAGGCAGUGAGUUUGCCAUCUGCCGUGUGACAUUGUGAGGGUGCGCAGAGCAGCUGGGGGUAGCCCGGAUGCAGUUACUGCAUUAGAUGGACACUGUGAAGACGCGCAGCUGUCAUGGGCUCAGCAACAAGGGCCCCUGGCGUCACACAGGGCACCCAGCCGCAUCCUGGGCCUAGGGUCAGGGGCUCCUACAGCUGGAACCUGCACCUUCUGGGGCACAAGGUGCCUUCUUUGUGGCCACCGCAUCCCAUGUCCAGCCCAGGCCUGGACAAUGAUGAGAUGUGCUCAGGUGCUUGGAGAAUCGUAUCUUCCUAGUGAGUUACACCAUUGCUGGGCCUGCUCUGGGCUGCCCUCCCAGCAUCUGCCUUCAUGAUCAGAGGCGUGACAUGUGGGCUGUAACUUGUUGCCCAGCCUCAUGGAGAAACUGUCUUUCUGUAGGUUGGUUCCUGUAUACCUUGGGCCAGAGAGCAAACAUAGGUGGCCUGAGAGAGCCCUGGUAUGUGGUGGAGAAGGACAGCGUCAAGGGUAACGUGUUUGUGGCCCCCCGGACAGACCACCCAGCCCUGUACAGGGACCUGCUGAGGACCAGCCGCGUGCACUGGAUUGCGGAGGAGCCUCCCGCAGCACUGGUCCGGGACAAGAUGAUGGAGUGCCACUUCCGAUUCCGCCACCAGAUGGCACUAGGUGACUGACGGGAGGGCUCCUGAGGACGGGCCCCUUGAAGCUGAGCUUCCUGAGGCCAGAUUUGGGCCAGGGAUGGGAGACCCUGGGGUAGGAAAGUCCCGUUGUGGAGAUUAUUUGGAGAUUACCUAAAAUAUUUAGAACUCCCGUGUCCUGUGCCUGCCCUGAGCGAGGCCUGGGGGUGCUGGGAGCAGAUGCAGGCAGGCCCCGGCGUGUUGGGCUGAAGCAAGCGUGUACACUACCCCGCAGUGUCCUGCUGCGCCCAGGCUGGUGCCCUGCCCUUCCCCUCUAAGCAGGGGUUCUUGACCCCGUGGGCUGGUACUCCUUUCUCCCUGGGGGCCUGAGGUUGACCAGGAAAGGCCUGUGGCCCCCUCCAAGGGCCCCUCUCUUCUACCCAGUGCCCUGUGUGCUGACCCUCAAUCAAGAUGGCACCGUGUGGGUGACAGCUGUGCAGGCUGUGCGUGCCCUUGCCACAGGACAGGUGCGUGGGGUGUGGGGGUGAGCCCGGGGAGGACUGUACUGCUCUGCACCCUGCCAGGGCACCCGGGUUACAGAGGAAGGGGCUGAGGCCCAGGAGUAGGGUGUGCUCGGGUCACACAGCUGGUGAGGGCAGAGUGCCACCAGCCCUGCCCUAGGGGGCUCCUCCCACAGUGACAACUGUGAGAGGAUUUCCACUCUGGUGUCACCAACCAGCCAGUUCCUGCUCGGGCCCUGAGAGGCUCAGCUGCUGCCCGGGCCCCAGAAGCGAGGACAGAAAAUGGAAGGGGCAUGAGGACGGUGCUCAAAGAGGCAGAGGGUCAGGGCCCCUGUGGGCCGAGUGUGCAGGAGCUCCGAGGGUGGGUAGGCCUGAGGGCUCUCCAGGGGCAGGUGGUGGGAGGGAACCUGGGGUGAGGGGAGCAGAAGCAUCCUCAGGCUGCCACCAUGCUCCUUCCUGUCACAGCUCCACGUUCCCAAGGGCUGCAGAGACCUGCCAGUCCCUGGAGUCCCAGGAGAGGCCCCUGUGACUGUCCCACUCAGGGAGAGGUACCCUGAAGACCCUCCCUAGUGAAGCCACUGGGUGCCCUAGGCCUCGCCUCUCCUCUCCUGUUCAGCAGCAGCAGCAGCAAAACCCUGCUCCCCUGGGAGCUCAGCGCCUGGCGCUCCGAGCACAGGCCAGGCCCCAUAGGGGAGCACUCUGCCCCUGCCUGCCCUCGGCUGGCUCCCUGUGGCACCCCUGAUGCCAGGGUCUCUUCCCCCCUACAGUUCGCUGUGUUCUACAAGGGGGACGAGUGCCUGGGCAGCGGGAAGAUCCUGCGGCUGGGGCCGUCUGCCUACACACUACAGAAGGGCCAGCGCAGAGCUGGGAUGGCCACUGAAAGCCCCAGUGACAGCCCAGAAGAUGGUCCAGGCCUGAGUCCCUUGCUCUGACAGAGAUGGAGCUGCUAGAAGGAACCUGGAGAGCAGGACCCAGGGCUGGGCCUCUGGUGAGCAGUCCAGGUGCCCAAGGGCCAGCUUGCUGCUGCCCAAAGCAGAGGAAGCCGGGCUGGCCGAGGGUCCGAAAAGCCUGCAGGGGCCCGGCGAGCCCCAGGAAGAGCCUCACCUCCAGGCUGGGGCUCUGGCUGCUGGAGCAUCUGCUGGCUGGUGGGGUGGCCCAAGUUCCCCUUCACUGCCCCCAGGGAGGGUUUCCCACCUCAGAGUACACCGAGGGGACCUGCAGAGGGGGCUGUCGGGACAGCGUGGAAUAAACAUUAUUUCAAGG
This 2896-nucleotide small RNA is filed under the name Pan troglodytes (chimpanzee). Its description in RNAcentral is "retained intron". Lineage: Eukaryota; Metazoa; Chordata; Mammalia; Primates; Hominidae. The record is from RNAcentral.